This 253-nucleotide ribosomal RNA is filed under the name uncultured bacterium. Its description in RNAcentral is "partial 16S ribosomal RNA". It matches the Rfam family "Bacterial small subunit ribosomal RNA", at positions 524 to 776 of the family's 1533-position model. The record is from RNAcentral.
UACGUAGGUGACCAGCGUUGUCCGGAUUUACUGGGCGUAAAGAGCGCGCAGGCGGUCGUUCAAGUCGAGUGUGAAAGCCCCCGGCUCAACUGGGGAGGGUCAUUCGAUACUGAUCGACUGGAAGGCAGGAGAGGGAAGCGGAAUUCCCGGUGUAGCGGUGGAAUGCGCAGAUAUCAGGAGGAACACCAAUAGCGAAGGCAGCUCGCUGGGACGGUACGGACGCUAAGGCGCGAAAGCGUGGGGAGCGAACAGG